GGCCCUAUAGCUCAGCGGUAGAGCGUUGGCUUCCAGUCUUAAUUGGGAAUUUCCAAAGGUCAUCCGUUCAAAUCGGGUUGGGGUCA
This 86-nucleotide transfer RNA is filed under the name Ustilago hordei. RNAcentral describes it as "transfer RNA-Trp(CCA)". It matches the Rfam family "tRNA". Rfam says of the family: Transfer RNA (tRNA) molecules are approximately 80 nucleotides in length. The record is from RNAcentral. Lineage: Eukaryota; Fungi; Basidiomycota; Ustilaginomycetes; Ustilaginales; Ustilaginaceae.